GGGUCAUUAGCUCAGUUGGUAGAGCAGUUGGCUUUUAACCAAUUGGUCGAAGGUUCGAAUCCUUCAUGACCCACCA
This 76-nucleotide transfer RNA is filed under the name Wohlfahrtiimonas chitiniclastica. Its description in RNAcentral is "tRNA-Lys". It matches the Rfam family "tRNA". Rfam says of the family: Transfer RNA (tRNA) molecules are approximately 80 nucleotides in length. Their secondary structure includes four short double-helical elements and three loops (D, anti-codon, and T loops). The record is from RNAcentral. RNAcentral also lists the same sequence under 2 other names. Lineage: Bacteria; Pseudomonadati; Pseudomonadota; Gammaproteobacteria; Cardiobacteriales; Ignatzschineriaceae.